AGACAAAACAAAGCCUGUUUAGCAAACAACUCCCCUCCAAAUGUGUAAAAAUAAAAAUCCUAUUGGUAUUUAGCAAAUGUAGGCUGCAGUUUAAACAACUUUUCUAUUUUGCAGGCAUUGAUGCUAUGAAUGUACGUCCCUUUUUAGUGGAGGAAAAAGUGACUCUUCCACUUUAGUGGUUGGGAUAUUUUCAAGGACAUUUUCAACAAGGAGGAUAUCCUCAAGAAAACAAAAUUCCCUUCAGAUGUUCAUGUGUCGCAUCAUGCAACUGUAAACAGUGAAACUCUUACAGUCUCUAGCAAGCACCCUGCUUGAAACACAAGCUGGAGAAAGGCAAUUUAUGAAACAGAGAGCAGAACACUAUUCUGGAGAAUGAGAUGUCUGAUUUUUGUUCCAAGCUCUGCCAGAGUGACCUUGCACUGCCACUUUCUCUGUAUUUCAGCAUCCACAACUAUAAAACGUUUUGAAGAAAUAGAUGGUGAGGUGAAAUUUCACACUGAUUUUCAACAGACAAUGGAAAGAAGCUAG
This 528-nucleotide long non-coding RNA is filed under the name Phasianus colchicus (ring-necked pheasant). RNAcentral describes it as "lncRNA (ENSPCLG00000021566.1)". The record is from RNAcentral. Lineage: Eukaryota; Metazoa; Chordata; Aves; Galliformes; Phasianidae.